Molecule: ribosomal RNA, 492 nt
Filed under: uncultured bacterium
Lineage: Bacteria
Description: partial 16S ribosomal RNA
Rfam family: Bacterial small subunit ribosomal RNA
Source: RNAcentral
GAUGAACGCUCGCUACAGGCUUAACACAUGCAAGUCGAGGGGAAACGACAUCGCAAGCUUGCUUUUGAUGGGCGUCGACCGGCGCACGGGUGAGUAACGCGUAUCCAACCUGCCCAUCACUUGGGAAUAACCUUGCGAAAGUAAGACUAAUACCCAAUGAUAUCCCACGAAGGCAUCGGAAUGGGAUUAAAGAUUUAUCGGUGAUGGAUGGGGAUGCGUCUGAUUAGCUUGUUGGCGGGGUAACGGCCCACCAAGGCAACGAUCAGUAGGGGUUCUGAGAGGAAGGUCCCCCACAUUGGAACUGAGACACGGUCCAAACUCCUACGGGAGGCAGCAGUGAGGAAUAUUGGUCAAUGGGCGAGAGCCUGAACCAGCCAAGUAGCGUGCAGGAAGACGGCCCUAUGGGUUGUAAACUGCUUUUAUAAGGGAAUAAAGUGGGUCACGUGUGACUUUUUGCAUGUACCUUAUGAAUAAGGACCGGCUAAUUCCGUG